RNAcentral lists this ribosomal RNA (522 nucleotides) under uncultured bacterium. Its description in RNAcentral is "bacterial SSU rRNA". It matches the Rfam family "Bacterial small subunit ribosomal RNA", at positions 77 to 638 of the family's 1533-position model. The record is from RNAcentral.
AGCUUGCUAAUAAUUCUCUAGUGGCGCACGGUGAGUAACACGUGAGUACCUGCCUCUUAGUGGGGGAUAGCCCUGGGAAACCGGGAUUAAUACCGCAUACGGAAACAAAGCAGCAAUGCGCUAGGAGAUGGGCUCGCGGCCUAUUAGUUAGUUGGUGAGGUAACGGCUUACCAAGGCGAUGACGGGUAGCCGGUCUGAGAGGAUGUCCGGCCACACUGGAACUGAGACACGGUCCAGACACCUACGGGUGGCAGCAGUCGAGAAUCAUUCACAAUGGGGGCAACCCUGAUGGUGCGACGCCGCGUGGGGGAUAAGGUCUUCGGAUUGUAAACCCCUGUCAUGUGGGACAUUAAAAAGAUAGUACCACAAGAGGAAGAGACGGCUAACUCUGUGCCAGCAGCCGCGGUAAUACAGAGGUCUCAAGCGUUGUUCGGAAUCACUGGGCGUAAAGCGUGCGUAGGCUGUUUCGUAAGUCGUGUGUAGAGGCAGGGGCUCAACCCUGGAUUGCACAUGAUACUGCGA